Molecule: long non-coding RNA, 179 nt
Organism: Vigna radiata var. radiata (mung bean)
Lineage: Eukaryota; Viridiplantae; Streptophyta; Magnoliopsida; Fabales; Fabaceae
Exons: 3
Source: RefSeq, a predicted model, not a curated record
UGCUGAAAAUUAGUGUCGCCCUUUUUGUUGAUUAGUUCUAGGUCUUUGGGGUUUUCUACAGUGGCUUUGGAUCGGUGAUUGGGAAAAUCUCGAUAAGCUUUGGUGUUUGCGGUAUAAUACAAACACAAAGGUGGCAUAAUGCCACCACUUUGUUAUGCCUGAUACGAGGUUGGCAGGGC